Molecule: transfer RNA, 74 nt
Organism: Prochlorococcus marinus subsp. marinus str. CCMP1375
Lineage: Bacteria; Bacillati; Cyanobacteriota; Cyanophyceae; Synechococcales; Prochlorococcaceae
Rfam family: tRNA
About the family: Transfer RNA (tRNA) molecules are approximately 80 nucleotides in length.
Source: Rfam
GCUCCGUUAGCUCAGCUGGAUAGAGCAACUGCCUUCUAAGCAGUGGGUCUCAGGUUCGAAUCCUGAACGGAGCG